UGGCGGGUGUAUCGCAAUAGUUAGAAAGUAUUCGAAUGAACUUUGCUACGGCUCAUAACCUGAAGGUCGCAGGUUCAAAUCCUGCCCCCGCAACCA
Molecule: transfer RNA, 96 nt
Filed under: Rhodothalassium salexigens DSM 2132
Lineage: Bacteria; Pseudomonadati; Pseudomonadota; Alphaproteobacteria; Rhodothalassiales; Rhodothalassiaceae
Description: tRNA-Met
Source: RNAcentral